GGGUGGAAGUGCGGGCUGCGAGGUUGGGGACGCCGGCGCCGGCGGUUGGGCGCCGGCGCGGCGUGAGAGAGAGAGAGAGAGGCGGCUAGGGUUUGGGGCUCUCGUCUCCUGAGGGAGACGACAACAGAAUAUAUUGUUUAUUGUCUGAUUAAUAUCGAAGGGGUACAUGUGUUUAUAAAGGAGGACAGCCUCCACUAAACCCUAGAUAACUUGGACUCUAACUUGGACUCUAAUAUAACUUGGACUUCUAAGAUAGGUAAGAUAACUUGAGCUAAGCCCGUAAUUAACCCUGCCCCUUGGGCCUCCUCCGUUGGUACGUUGUACCGGUCAUAACAUCUCUCCCCGCCUUCUCAAACAGCUCGUCCUCGAGCUGAACAUCUGGAAACUGCUGGCGGAAAUCGUCGAGCUUCUCCCAAGUCGCUUCCUCCUCUGGUAGGCCGGUCCAUUGUACCAAGACAUGCCAGACGCCGCGACGCUGCUGCGCCUGUAGCACCUUCGCCACCUGUGCGGAAGCUGGAAGGAGGCGGCCAUCCAAAGUAGGAGGAAGGGCCGGUGUCGCUGCAGGAGGGUCCCCGCGGUAGGCCUUCAGUAAGCCGACAUGGAAGACGUCGUGGAGGCGAGAACCAGCUGGCAGCUCCAAGCGGUAUGCGAGUGUGCCGACACGCUCCAGCACACGAAAGGGACCGGCGUAGCGAGGUCCCAAUUUGCGCUUGGAGCGCGGGUCCAGAGACUGCGUGGUCCUGUGGAGGAGGCGCAGCCACACCCAAUCGCCCACCGCGAACUCCGCCUCGCGAUAAUGAGCAUCGUAGUACUUCCGAGCCAGCUGCUGUGCUUGGAGAAGACGCUGGCGUGCCUCAGCCAGAAUGUCGUCGCGGGUGCGGAGUAAGUCGCCCGCCGUCUCGGACCGAGCCGUCCCAGGCUCGUAAGGGAGCAUCGCCGGAGGUGGGCGCCCGUAGACCACCUCGAAAGGCGUGGUGCGCAGGGCGGAGUGAUAGGAGGUGUUGUAGCAGUACUCCGCCCACGCCAACCAGUCCACCCAAGCUCGUGGACGAUCACCAGUAACACAGCGCAGGUACAUGGCGAUCACCUUGUUGACCACCUCGGAUUGGCCGUCUGUCUGAGGGUGGAACGUCGUGCUCAUGCGGAGCUUCACGCCCGCCAGUCGAAAGAGAUCCCGCCAGACAUGUCCCGUGAACACGGGAUCACGAUCGCUGACGAUGGACGAGGAAAACCGUGGAGGCGGACGAUGCCGUCGAAGAAGGCCUGCGCCACGGAGGCGGCUGUAUAUGGAUGACCCAGGGCGAUGAAGUGUGCGUACUUGGAGAAGCGGUCAACCACCGUGAGGAUGACGGAUUUGCCGCCCACCUUGGGAAGGCCCUCGAUGAAGUCCAUGGAAAUAUCCGCCCACACCUAGGAGGGUACGUCCAGCGGCUGCAGUAGACCCGCGGGUCGUAGUGUCUCCGUCUUGUUCCGUUGGCACGUCACGCACGACCGCACCCAGUCGCGGACCAUCGCGCCAUCACCGGGGAUGUAAAAAUCAGUACGGAGACGAUGGAGAGUCUUCUGCACGCCCUCGUGCCCUGCAGAGUGCGCCAAGGUCAGGACCUGGUGGCGCAGGUCGCCAUGGUCGGGCACGAAGAUGCGGCGGCCAUGUAGGAGUAGCCCCUCGUCCAAACGCCAGGGCGCGUCCAGCUCGCCGGCGUCAAGGCGCUAGCGCAGGCCCUGGGCGUCCACGGCCGUCGAAGUUGCCCGGCGAAUGUCGUUGAUGAAGGCGAAAGAUGGCCCGGAGCGAAUGCACAUGAUAGUGCCAGCCAUGGCGACGUCGUCCGCGACAUCCUCAGUGUCGCGGCGGGACAAGGCAUCGACGACCGUGUUGAGACGGCCGGGGCGGUACUCAACAGUGAAGUCGAAGCCAAAGAGCUUGCUGAUCCACUGGUGUUGCGGAACUGUGGAGAGGCGCUGGUCCAACAAGAACUUGAGGCUGUAGUGGUCCGUGCGCACACGGAAUGACCGGCCCCAAAGAUAAGGCCGCCAGUGGCGCACCGCCUGAACCAGCCCAAUAAGCUCGCGCUCGUAGGCCGCGAGCUUGUGAUGGCGAGCGGCGAAGGGGCGGCUGAAGAAGGCGAGCGAUCCCUCGCCCUGGUGAAGGACGGCGCCGAAGCCGAUGCCAGAGGCGUCGCAGUCCACGAUGAACGGCAUAUCAAAGUCCGGCAUCUGGAGGACGGGUCCCGUCGUGAGCGCCUGCUGGAGAGCCUCGAAUGCCGUAGUCGCCUCCUCAUCCCAGGAGAAGGCGUCGCGUCGAAGGAGACGCGUCAGUGGCGCGGCGGUGAGGCCGAAGUCCCGGAUGUACUUCCGGUAGUAGCCGGCAAGGCCCAAGAAGCCGCGGAGCGCCCGCGGUGACCGCAGGAUCGGCCACGCGGCGACGGCGACGACCUUGUCCGCGUCCAUCGCUACCCCGUCCGCCGAGAUGACGUGCCCCAGGUACGCGACGGAGGUCGUGCCGAACGAGCACUUCGAGCGCUUGAGGUGAAGACGAUGCGCUCGAAGCUCGUUGAAGAUGAUGGCCACAUGUUGUAGAUGCUCCGCCCAAGAUGCACUGUAGAUGAGAAUGUCAUCAAAGAAAACAAGCACAAAGCGGCGCAAGUAUGGGCUGAGCACGUCGUUCAUCAGGGGCUGGAAGGUCGCCGGCGCGUUGGAGAGGCCGAACGGCAUCACCAGGAACUCAAAGUGGCCAUGGUGAGUGCGGAACGCCGUCUUCUCGAUGUCGUCAGGGUGCAUGCGCACCUGAUGGUAGCCCGAGCGAAGGUCGAGCUUGGUGAAGAAGCGCGCUCCGUGUAGCUCGUCCAAGAGCUCAUCCACGACGGGGAUGGGGAACUUGUCCUUGGACGUCAGGGCGUUGAGGGCGCGGUAGUCGAUGCAGAAGCGCCAUGUGCCGUCGGACUUGCGCACAAGGAGCACCGGGGCGGAGAACGGCGAUGUCGAAAUCCGGAUGAUGCCUUGCGCGAGCAUGACCGCCACCUGACCCUCGAGCUCGUCUUUCUGCAGCUGAGGGUACCGGUACGGACGCACGGCUACAGGUGCCGUGUCCGGCAGCAGGUGGAUGCGGUGGUCACAGGGCCGCACAGGAGGGAGGCCCUGUGGCUCGUCGAAGAUGUCGCUGUGCUGCUGCAGGAGGUCGGCCAGGAGGGGAUGCGCCUCGUCCAGUGCGGACGCCAUCAAAUGGAGCUGUGGAGUCACGGCGCCGGAGCCGCCGAUGCCUGUCCACUGAACGCGACGGCCGCCCUCGCGCCAGAAGAUGAGGGACAGCACAUCGAGGUCCCAAAGGAUGGGGCCGAGAGUGGACAGGAAGUCGAUGCCGAGGAUGAAGUCGUAGCUGCCCAGGUCGAUGCCGACGCAGUUGAUGGAGAACGGCUCGUCGCCAAUGAGGACGGGAACCUGCCGCGCCACCCCCUAGCAAGCAAGGCGGUCCCCGUUGGCGACGGUGACGCUGAACUUCUCCGAGCCCGCCGGUUGGAGUGCGAGGCGGCGCAUGGCGUCCCCGGACAGGAAGUUGUGCGUCGAACCCGUGUCCACGAGCGCGGUUAGACGCUCCCCGUUGAUCGUCACCGGAAGCAGCAUCGUCUUUGCCGUCUUGAUGCCAGCCAUGGCAUGAAGGGAGACGACGAAGGCGGUCGCGUCGACCGACCCGUAGGUCACCGGAAGCAGCAUCGUCUUUGCCGUCUUGAUGCCAGCCAUGGCAUGAAGGGAGACGACGAAGGCGGUCGCGUCGACCGGCCCGUAGGUCGUGACGCCGGCCUCGGAGAGUGUGGUGGCGUCGAGCUCCGCGGUGAGGGCCUCCACCUCCGCGUCGUCGACGGUCUCCAAGUAGAACAGGCGGGCGCACGUAUGACCCGGCGCAUACGGCUCGUCGCAGUUGAAGCACAGGCCCUUGCGGCGCCGCUCGAGCUGCUCGGCCGACGUCAAGCGCCGGAAGGUGCGUGUCGGCGCGGGGGCAGCCGCCGUAGCGGCCGGCAGGGCGUGUCGGGGUGGCGGCCGCCGGGGCGGGGCGGGGCGGGGAACGCGUGCCGCGGCCCGGGAACGCCUGCUGCAGGGCGUUGGCGCGCUGCUCGUACGCGCGUGCGUAAUACAUGGCCGUCUGCAGGUCCUGGGGGUCGCGCAUCUCGACAUCGAUGCGGAUGUGGUCGGGAAGGCCGCCGACGAAGAGCUCGGCGCGUUGGCGAGCCGUGACGUCAGGCGCAUGGCAGGCCAACGUCUGGAAGCGGUCGGCGAAGUCCUGCACCGAGGUGGUGAAGGGAAGGCGACCGAGCUCGGCCAAGCGGCUCCCACGUAUGGGGGGGCCGAACCGGAGGAGACACAGGUCGCGAAAGCGCUCCCAUGAAGGCAUCCCGCCCUCGUCCUGCUCGAGGGCGUAGUACCAAGUCUGGGCGGCGCCACGGAGGUGGUAGGAGGCGAUCCACGUGCGGUCGGACGCCAUGGUCCGCUGCCCCCUGAAAAACUGGUCGCACUGAUUGAGCCAGUUCAAGGGGUCGACGGUGCCGUCGUAGGUGGCGAACUCCAGCUUGGUGAAGCGGGGUGGCUGUUGCACGUGUGGCGAGGCCGCGUAGGUGCCCUCGUGACGGCCCAGCGCGGCGGAAGGAGAGUGUUGCGGCACCACGGAGCUCCCGGCGUACAGAUCAGUGUACCCGCCGAACCCCCCGAAGGUGGGGGCGGGUGGCUGCAACACCGUCGGCUGUAGUGGCGCCGUCGUGUANNNNNNNNNUAGGUCGGCGUGUCCAUCCACGUCGGUAGCGGGGACGGCGACGGCGGCCACCGGACCUGGGUGAUCGGCAGGCCCUGGGGCACGACAGUCGCCGGGGGCGGUGGCGCGAAGGGCGCCGCCGGCGGAGGCGGUGGUGGCGGGGUUGCGUACGGAGCCUGGAGGAGAGUCCGGAGGUUCGAGACCGCCAGGUUGAGGUCGCGGAUCGCCGAGGACAUCUCCGCCGGGGAGAGGACGGGAGCGGGUUCGGCCGCCAGGGCCGCGGGACCGGAGGCGGCCGGGCCUGAGGUGGCCGGCGGCGGUGAGUGGUGCGGCGGCGGCUGCUGCUGUGAGGUGGCGGGCAAGGCGGUGGUGGCGGCGGCGGUGGUGGUGGGAAGGUCCGACAAACUCAUCGAACCCAAGCUACCUGAUACCAAAUUGGUAGAGGCUAGGGUUCUACCAGGUCUCGGACGUAGGUUGUAGGGCUGGAAGUGCGGGCUGCGAGGUUGGGGACGCCGGCGCCGGCGGUUGGGCGCCGGCGCGGCGUGAGAGAGAGAGAGAGAGGCGGCUAGGGUUUGGGGCUCUCGUCUCCUGAGGGAGACGACAACAGAAUAUAUUGUUUAUUGUCUGAUUAAUAUCGAAGGGGUACAUGUGUUUAUAAAGGAGGACAGCCUCCACUAAACCCUAGAUAACUUGGACUCUAACUUGGACUCUAAUAUAACUUGGACUUCUAAGAUAGGUAAGAUAACUUGGGCUAAGCCCGUAAUUAACCCUGCCCAUUGGGCCUCCUCCGUUGGUACGUUGUACCGGUCAUAACACUUUAUAUUUCAGAAAAAAAAAUGUUUUUUACUUGCUUUCUGUCUAAUUGGACAAGGUAAACAUAGUAGUUACAGGGGCGUCAUAAAACCAGUAAUUACAGUAUCAAAAAGAUUCAUGUUUGUCAUUCCUUUUAACAGGACAAGAUACGGAAACAAAUAAGAGCAGUUUUGACAUGCUCCCUCUUACCCCCUCUUUUCAUAUGAGAGGUAAGAGUAUAUAGUAGAUCUGAGCCAUUAAUCACAUUAAUUAGUGGUCUGAUUAACUCUUACUC
This 5825-nucleotide long non-coding RNA is filed under the name Hordeum vulgare. Its description in RNAcentral is "long non-coding RNA (HVUL_LNC011907)". Lineage: Eukaryota; Viridiplantae; Streptophyta; Magnoliopsida; Poales; Poaceae. The record is from RNAcentral.